AGAAGAGCCAUCUUGGACCUUUUCCGAGAUCCUACCCUCAACUCUCCCAUAAUCUCAACCAUUUGGGAUGUGUACUCCUGUCAGCCCCAGAGGAUUUAUCGAUGACCUGCAGUAGCCCUCUCCCAGGCCCC
Neogale vison (American mink) is the source of this 131-nucleotide long non-coding RNA. RefSeq lists it as uncharacterized. The record is from RefSeq and is a predicted model, not a curated record. The transcript is spliced from 3 exons. NCBI's taxonomy places the organism in Eukaryota, Metazoa, Chordata, Mammalia, Carnivora, Mustelidae.